RNAcentral lists this ribosomal RNA (460 nucleotides) under uncultured bacterium. RNAcentral's name for it is "partial 16S ribosomal RNA". It matches the Rfam family "Bacterial small subunit ribosomal RNA", at positions 338 to 795 of the family's 1533-position model. The record is from RNAcentral.
CCUACGGGAGGCAGCAGUGAGGAAUAUUGGUCAAUGGGCGGAAGCCUGAACCAGCCAAGUCGCGUGAGGGAUUAAGGCCCUGCGGGUCGUAAACCUCUUUUGCCGGGGAGCAGUGGUCCGGACGAGUCCGGGCCGGGAGAGUACCCGGAGAAAAAGCAUCGGCUAACUCCGUGCCAGCAGCCGCGGUAAUACGGAGAAUGCGAGCGUUAUCCGGAUUUAUUGGGUUUAAAGGGUGCGUAGGCGGGCAUUUAAGCCGGCGGUCAAAUGUCGGGGCUCAACCCCGGCCUGCCGUCGGAACUGGGUGCCUUGAGUGGGCGAGAAGUAUGCGGAAUGCGUGGUGUAGCGGUGAAAUGCAUAGAUAUCACGCAGAACCCCGAUUGCGAAGGCAGCAUACCGGCGCCCGACUGACGCUGAGGCACGAAAGUGCGGGUAUCGAACAGGAUUAGAUACCCGGGUAGUC